Molecule: ribosomal RNA, 264 nt
Filed under: Salmonella enterica
Lineage: Bacteria; Pseudomonadati; Pseudomonadota; Gammaproteobacteria; Enterobacterales; Enterobacteriaceae
Also listed under: 1 other name
Description: partial 16S ribosomal RNA
Rfam family: Bacterial small subunit ribosomal RNA
Source: RNAcentral
AAAUUGAAGAGUUUGAUCAUGGCUCAGAUUGAACGCUGGCGGCAGGCCUAACACAUGCAAGUCGAACGGUAACAGGAAGCAGCUUGCUGCUUCGCUGACGAGUGGCGGACGGGUGAGUAAUGUCUGGGAAACUGCCUGAUGGAGGGGGAUAACUACUGGAAACGGUGGCUAAUACCGCAUAAUGUCGCAAGACCAAAGAGGGGGACCUUCGGGCCUCUUGCCAUCAGAUGUGCCCAGAUGGGAUUAGCUUGUUGGUGAGGUAAC